RNAcentral lists this long non-coding RNA (219 nucleotides) under Vicia faba (fava bean). The record is from RNAcentral. Lineage: Eukaryota; Viridiplantae; Streptophyta; Magnoliopsida; Fabales; Fabaceae.
AUGGAAUCCGCCGCUAGAAGAAGAGGAGGAGGCGUUUUCGAAGGCCUUUACAAGGUCCUCAUGCGCCGCAACUCUGUCUACGUUACCUUCGUCAUCGCCGGCGCUUUCCUCGGAGAACGGGCUGUUGAUUACGGAGUUCACAAGUUAUGGGAAAGGAAUAAUGUUGGGAAAAGGUAUGAAGACAUUUCUGUGCUAGGGCAAAGGCCAGUUGACGAGUGA